CAUGAGCUGUUCUGUUCGAUAGGUUAACUAUUCCUGGGGCCGAUACUUAUCUUCUAGGGGACUGUCCCUGCCAGGAUCGUGGUCUUGGUAUAUGGUGCCCACCUGCUUGUUGCGGGCCGCAGAAGAAAUAAAAACCACCGGCAGAUACGGCUCUUUG
This 157-nucleotide non-coding RNA is filed under the name Alphaproteobacteria bacterium. RNAcentral's name for it is "6S RNA". It matches the Rfam family "6S / SsrS RNA". Rfam says of the family: E. coli 6S RNA was the first non coding RNA to be sequenced, but its function was unknown until recently. It consists of 184 nucleotides that fold into an extended hairpin structure with a large single-stranded internal bulge. The record is from RNAcentral. Lineage: Bacteria; Pseudomonadati; Pseudomonadota; Alphaproteobacteria.